Pelobates cultripes (western spadefoot toad) is the source of this 578-nucleotide non-coding RNA. The record is from the annotation of a GenBank genome assembly. NCBI's taxonomy places the organism in Eukaryota, Metazoa, Chordata, Amphibia, Anura, Pelobatidae.
UCCCUUUCAUGCCGCCCCUUAGCUGUUUAUAUCCCAACUAGCUAAUGCUAGAUUGUAAGAUUGCAAAAGCAAGACUUUCUUCGAUUCUUUAUGUAGCUAUGUCUAUUUAUGUUAAACCUUAUGUAAUUGGUGUUAUAUGUCAAUUUUUCUGUGAACCUGAUAUAUGACACAGCAACAACUUUACCUGGGUUCUCAGCUCGAAUAGGAAAUUGUUUUUUUUUUUUCUUUAUUCCUUUCACCAUCAAACUCUCCACUUCUGAAUUGUGCUCUAGAUUAAACCAAAGAGUAAAGCUAAAGCCAUCAGACAUGUGUGGCCAGCAGUUUUGUCCAACCAAAGGCAAAUGAAUAGGAGAAAUGUGCCAUGAAGAGAUGAGACCACUCGAAUGGUCACCGACGGUAUCCUUAUUUUGUAAAAAUUUAGUUCUUCUUAAGAAUCCUGUCAUUUUACUAGUGGAAACACUAGGCUUCACCGAAACACUGCCCAGAAAAGGAAUUUGUUCCAGGGGAAAGGUGAUGUACUUCAGAGGUGCUAUGUGGUUAUUCUCUAUAAUUUUCAAAAUUCCUUUAAGUAAUAUAUC